UGUGUCAGCAACUCUCUCUUUGCUACUCUCACAUGGUCGCCCACUAAAGCUAAGCAGGGCUGUGCUCAGUAAGUACCUGGAUGGGAGACCACAUGAGAAAACUAGAUUGCUGGCGGAU
Molecule: ribosomal RNA, 118 nt
Filed under: Danio rerio (zebrafish)
Lineage: Eukaryota; Metazoa; Chordata; Actinopteri; Cypriniformes; Danionidae
Source: RNAcentral